GCCCCUGUAGCUCAAUGGAUAGAGCAUUGGCCUCCGGAGCCAAAGAUGCUGGUUCAAUUCCAGCCAGGGGCA
Molecule: transfer RNA, 72 nt
Filed under: Candidatus Parcubacteria bacterium
Lineage: Bacteria; Candidatus Parcubacteria
Description: tRNA-Arg
Rfam family: tRNA
About the family: Transfer RNA (tRNA) molecules are approximately 80 nucleotides in length. Their secondary structure includes four short double-helical elements and three loops (D, anti-codon, and T loops). Further hydrogen bonds mediate the characteristic L-shaped molecular structure. tRNAs have two regions of fundamental functional importance: the anti-codon, which is responsible for specific mRNA codon recognition, and the 3' end, to which the tRNAs corresponding amino acid is attached (by aminoacyl-tRNA synthetases). tRNAs cope with the degeneracy of the genetic code in two manners: having more than one tRNA (with a specific anti-codon) for a particular amino acid; and 'wobble' base-pairing, i.e. permitting non-standard base-pairing at the 3rd anti-codon position.
Source: RNAcentral